GACGAACGCUGGCGGCGUGCUUAACACAUGCAAGUCGAACGGAAAGGCCCCUUUGGGGGUACUCGAGUGGCGAACGGGUGAGUAACACGUGAGUAACCUGCCCUUGACUUCGGGAUAACUUCAGGAAACUGGGGCUAAUACCGGAUAGGAAUCCUUGCUGCAGGGUGGGGGUUGGAAAGCUUCGGCGGUUUUGGAUGGACUCGCGGCUUAUCAGCUUGUUGGUGGGGUAGUGGCUUACCAAGGCUUUGACGGGUAGCCGGCCUGAGAGGGCGACCGGCCACAUUGGGACUGAGAUACGGCCCAGACUCCUACGGGAGGCAGCAGGGGGGAAUAUUGCACAAUGGGCGGAAGCCUGAUGCAGCAACGCCGCGUGCGGGAUGACGGCCUUCGGGUUGUAAACCGCUUUCAGCAGGGGCGAAGCUUGUGGUGACGGUACCUGCAGAAGAAGCACCGGCUAACUACGUG
Molecule: ribosomal RNA, 465 nt
Filed under: uncultured bacterium
Lineage: Bacteria
Description: partial 16S ribosomal RNA
Rfam family: Bacterial small subunit ribosomal RNA
Source: RNAcentral